RNAcentral lists this ribosomal RNA (429 nucleotides) under Acidobacteriota bacterium. RNAcentral's name for it is "Acidobacteria bacterium partial 16S ribosomal RNA". It matches the Rfam family "Bacterial small subunit ribosomal RNA", at positions 355 to 776 of the family's 1533-position model. Lineage: Bacteria; Pseudomonadati; Acidobacteriota. The record is from RNAcentral.
UGGGGAAUUUUGGACAAUGGGGGAAACCCUGAUCCAGCCAUCCCGCGUGUGCGAUGAAGGCCUUCGGGUUGUAAAGCACUUUUGGCAGGAAAGAAACGUCAUGGGUUAAUACCCCGUGAAACUGACGGUACCUGCAGAAUAAGCACCGGCUAACUACGUGCCAGCAGCCGCGGUAAUACGUAGGGUGCAAGCGUUAAUCGGAAUUACUGGGCGUAAAGCGUGCGCAGGCGGUUCGGAAAGAAAGAUGUGAAAUCCCAGAGCUCAACUUUGGAACUGCAUUUUUAACUACCGGGCUAGAGUGUGUCAGAGGGAGGUGGAAUUCCGCGUGUAGCAGUGACAUGCGUAGAUAUGCGGAGGAACACCGAUGACGAAGGCAGCCUCCUGGGAUAACACUGACGCUCAUGCACGAAAGCGUGGGGAGCAAACAGG